RNAcentral lists this long non-coding RNA (515 nucleotides) under Sarcophilus harrisii (Tasmanian devil). Its description in RNAcentral is "lncRNA (ENSSHAG00000030178.1)". The record is from RNAcentral. Lineage: Eukaryota; Metazoa; Chordata; Mammalia; Dasyuromorphia; Dasyuridae.
AUUUGACACCAACCCCCUGGUGACUGUUCUUUGAUAUUUACCUUUUCCAGAUUAAUGGAGCUGGAGCCCUUACCCUUGAAUGGAAGUCCCUUCUGAAAGCAGCCCAAAUGACCCUCCAUCAGGAGAGCCAGAGGAGCACAUCGUUUCAGCAGAGUCCACUUUGGCAGUGUGGAGAGUGAGAGACAUGAAACGGAAGAUCUGGAGGAAAGAGUACAGACACUGGUGGAAAAUCCGGCGAGAUAAACUUCAUAUUCCAAGCUGGUUUUAUUUCUGCAGUCUUUUUUCAAGGGCCAGGAAAGAACCCAAUUUCACAGCUGAGCUAGAGCAAACCGAGGAAUCUGGCAAAGAUGAGGAAACUGAGGCAUUAUGGUACAGGAGAAACUGCACUAGAAAAUCUAAGAAUGUAGAGAAUGAGAGAAGAAUAAUCUAACUCUUAUUUAACUAAAAACAAGAAAGAGAACCAGAUGGAAUGAAGAUGAAGAAAUUCAAAGAGGAGUAAAGUGAUUUUUUUCCAG